Non-coding RNA from Monodelphis domestica (gray short-tailed opossum), 1353 nucleotides. The record is from RefSeq and is a predicted model, not a curated record. NCBI's taxonomy places the organism in Eukaryota, Metazoa, Chordata, Mammalia, Didelphimorphia, Didelphidae.
AUCCUGUCAUUUAGGAACAUCAAUCUAUCAACUCUGUGGAGGACAACUCUCUGUAGGAGAGCCCAAAAGCCAAGAGGACAAUUAUAAACAACUCAAGCAGAAUCCUUUAAGAGGAGAGCAGAAUGGAGUUGUUCGAUUUUCAUGCCACUAAGAGAAAUUCCCAAUUCCAAACCAUUGCUGUGCUACUUCUCCUAAUAAAAGAAAUGGGAUAUGGUUGACACUUGAGGUUUUAUAACUAUGGAUCCGAACAGCAGCAAGAAAUAAGAUAAGAAAACUGAGGACCACUGAGAUAUUAGUGCCAGAGGCAUUAUAUGAACCUGACCCCAAAGUCUUGUACUCUUUCCAAACAUCCAUUCUGACAGACAACAACUGGCUAAAGAUGUACAAUUCAUUUCAGAAUUCCCUGAAUCUGUGAAGGAUGUGGGCAUCAAAACACAAGAAAACCAGCUGUCAAAAGGAAUGAGCAAAUUUUGAAAUGAUGCCAAAAUGAGGGAAGUGACAACAGUCAUAAGCCUCCUGCUCCAAAAGCUUUGGUUCUGCAGAAAGUGGCAUGUUAAUCUUAAAUGAAAAUAACUUAAAGCUAUGUAUACAUAUAUCUUAUAAUAGGUUCCAAAAGAAUAACUGGACCUAACCUUAGGACAACUGAGUUCUCUUCAGUAAUAAAGCUUAUAAAUAUUUUUAGGAAUCUAAAAAUAUCACCUUGUUAAAUGGUCAAAAGAUAUGAAUAGGCAGAUAUCAGAAGAAAUAAAAGCUCAUAAUCGCGUAAGAAUUUUCCAAAGAAUUAUUGAUUAGAGAAAUGCACAUUAAAACAACUCUUAAGGAAUCACCUCCCACCUAUCAGACUGGCUAAAAUGUCAGAGAAAAGGUAAAUGAUGAAUGCUAGAGGGGAUAUAGAGAUAUAUAGAGAUACUGACAGAAUACUGAAAGAGUUGGGAACUUAUCCAACCUUUCUGGAGAGCAUUUGGAACUAUGCCAAAAGGGCUAUCAAACCAUAUCAAAUCUUUGACCUAUGUAAUUGGUAAUCUCUUUCCAUAAAAACUACAUUUCCAAGGAGCCCACUGAUUCCCUAUUACUUUUGUAAAGAGCUGAUGUUGACAGAGAGAUAUAUUGGGUGGGGUUCCUGGUCUCUCUUUGCUUCUGUCAGUGACUCUGGUGGAGAAUGGGGUUUCUGAACAGGUAAAUUAGCCAUAGGCACAUGGUUUUACGUUGUUACCUUUUUAUUCCUUUAUUUCUCUUGGUCAUUAAUAAAUCUCUAUAAAUAUAAUACUUUAAAUUAUUGUAGACUAACCACUGAAGUUGGAGAAAGAAUUCUCAAUUUUUAAGUCAUAUUUCUCCUGCCAUGGCUUCCCCCCC